AGUGAACGCUGGCGGUAGGCCUAACACAUGCAAGUCGAACGGCAGCACAGUAAGAGCUUGCUCUUACGGGUGGCGAGUGGCGGACGGGUGAGGAAUACAUCGGAAUCUACUUUUUCGUGGGGGAUAACGUAGGGAAACUUACGCUAAUACCGCAUACGACCUACGGGUGAAAGCAGGGGAUCUUCGGACCUUGCGCGAUUGAAUGAGCCGAUGUCGGAUUAGCUAGUUGGCGGGGUAAAGGCCCACCAAGGCGACGAUCCGUAGCUGGUCUGAGAGGAUGAUCGGCCACACUGGAACUGAGACACGGUCCAGACUCCUACGGGAAGCAGCAGUGGGGAAUAUUGGACAAUGGGCGCAAGCCUGAUCCAGCCAUACCGCGUGGGUGAAGAAGGCUUUCGGGUUGUAAAGCCCUUUUGUUGGGAAAGAAAAGCAGCAGGUUAAUACCCCGCUGUUCUGACGGUACCCAAAGAAUAAGCACCGGCUAACUUCGUG
RNAcentral lists this ribosomal RNA (492 nucleotides) under uncultured bacterium. Its description in RNAcentral is "partial 16S ribosomal RNA". It matches the Rfam family "Bacterial small subunit ribosomal RNA", at positions 29 to 507 of the family's 1533-position model. The record is from RNAcentral.